GUUGAGAGAUCAAGAAAGAUGCUGGCUGAGAUCAACCAUUCGGUUUUUGACACAGGACGGCAAUUGUUACUGAAACUUACCUGGGCCUCCUAAGACCUGGCUGCUUCUUCUGUGGAGAGAGAAUAAUAGGAACAUCUGCUUCAAGAUUUUCAUAAAGGUCAACUAAGAAAUGUGACAAGGUUUGUGAACUAUAAAGCACUAAACAUAACUGUGCAUCCCUACAUUUUAGGAGUUACAAAACAAAGAAAAACAGUUAACACCACUCCACCAAAUGAAUAGAGGAAAUUUAGUAAAGAUGUCAACCUCUCUGUAUUGGAAGAAGCUCCUUGUUGCUUGUCUUGACCCUGCCUCCCAUCGCUGAGGAGUCUAGUUCACCUCUAAGCCAAGUAGGAUGAGAGUAUAUUUGGUGUCUGAGCUCAUUUUUGAAUCUACUUCAUUUGUGUUACCACACAUUAUUCAUUCCCCCUGUUCAACUAUCUACUAAGACAUUUAAACUGGCCAAGAAACAUCUAUCUAGCAAAAUUUUGGCUGAGAGUGUUCCUCCAAAUAGAAUAAUCUAUUUCUAAAUUAAACCAGAUUAGCAAAAAUGUGUACACCUGUAAUAUAGUUCCUUUGUUCACUGUAAAAUCAUUGUUAUACUCUGGUGUUAUGACUUUCGUUUAUACUGAAAGAAUGUACAAGUAUGAAUACAAUGAAAUCUAUAAAUAUGUGAAGAGAGAUUAGAGCUCCCACUCAUACUUUUCCCAUUUCUGAGGUUCUUCCAGUAAGUUCCCGCGUGGGCUUCUCCAGAUUAAUUGGUCUGUUUUUAUCUGCUGCACAGAGUAAACUGUUUAACUGCUUUUAUUUUUGUUUUCUGCUAGAAAGCUUAGAGCCAGAUUUUCUUAGCCCUCAUCUUCAGAAAAUAUGUAGACUUCUAUGGCAGUAUUUCCCAACAGGUGCUCAGCAGAGCACUAGUUUCUCAAAUGUUGCAUUUAAAGAGUUUCAGAUCAAAUAAAUUUGAGAAAUGUCACAUUCUUGUUAAUUCACAAUGAGUGAAAUGUUACAUGAAAAAGGGUUCUGGAUCAAAUAAGUUUUGGGGAAAAAAACCUUAGUUUUGGAAAGUUUUUUUAUUGUUUCACAAUGUUUAUAGCAUAUUAAAGGUUUGAGAGAUUUGGUAAUAAAGAUAAUCUGUUUAAACUUGUUUCAACCAUUGCCCAUGUUCAAAUACUUUUGCUCAUGGUAUCCCUUUUUUAUGUAACACCUGCUAACAUCUGGCCUUAACAGCAUUCUGCAGAAUCCAGUUGAUAAAUCCCGCCUUAUGGUUUCCAUUCCUAGAUCCAUUUUACAUCUCUAACCCUUUUAAAUCUCUUAUGUCCCACUUGUGCUGUGUUCAGUGUAUAUCUGUUUUGUGUGUGUGUGUGUGUGUGUGUGUGUGUGUGUGUGUGUUUUGAGAUGGAGUCUUGCUCUGUCA
This 1450-nucleotide long non-coding RNA is filed under the name Homo sapiens (human). RNAcentral's name for it is "HSALNT0364122". The record is from RNAcentral. Lineage: Eukaryota; Metazoa; Chordata; Mammalia; Primates; Hominidae.